Molecule: long non-coding RNA, 689 nt
Filed under: Heterocephalus glaber (naked mole-rat)
Lineage: Eukaryota; Metazoa; Chordata; Mammalia; Rodentia; Bathyergidae
Description: lncRNA (ENSHGLG00000029198.2)
Source: RNAcentral
GUUGCGGGCGGAACUGAGCGCACGCGAGGCUCGAAGGCGACUGCAGUCGGCCCUUCCCGGAGUCCCGCUUCGGGGCCGUCCCUGGGCGCUGCGCGUUGGUCCGCCCGAGUCUUGGGGUGGCUUGGGAGAAUGGGUUUGGGGCUCAGGCCUCGAGGUUGCCAAGAGCCUCGCGCUUCCUCAUUUUCCCGCCAGGUCAACGUAACCCGGCAUUUCUCCGAGGAGAGGCCUAAAAAUGAGUGGGGCUGCCGCCCGACUCCUGUGAGAGCCUCGGGGCUUCCAUUCCCGACACCAGGAGGAAAGACCGGCAUUUCUUCCUCGGGCGAAGAACCCAGUUGUCCAGGCUGGGCUCAAAGAUGGGACUCUCUUGCAUCAGCUUUCCAGAGUGCUGGGAUUACACGUGUGCGCCACGGAAUCUGGCUACCGAGCACUUAUUGUUGAACUUAUUUUUGUUCUUAGUUCUGAGGACUGAACCUAGAGGCUCACACAUGCUAAAUAUUUACUCUACCACUGAAGCAAUCUCCUGGCCCUCAAAUUCUUAAGUUAUAAAACAAGAAAAUUUUUGAUAUGGUUUCCUGGAUGAAACAGUGACAAAAUCAAGAGAGCUAACCUUGCUUACCCUGCCCAACCCACUUGUGUGAUAUGUUAGCUCCCUGGUCCCUGCUUGAUUCAGACACUACAGAAGAUGUGGG